RNAcentral lists this long non-coding RNA (993 nucleotides) under Anas platyrhynchos platyrhynchos (common mallard). RNAcentral describes it as "lncRNA (ENSAPLG00000027324.1)". Lineage: Eukaryota; Metazoa; Chordata; Aves; Anseriformes; Anatidae. The record is from RNAcentral.
CCACCAACAUGAGCCACUGAAUCAGCCACAAGCUUUCAGCACAAAGAGGGAUCAGGAGACAAGUGGCCACAUCUCUGCAUGUGAAGACAUCUAACAGUCUGUCUGUAGCCAUGGACAUCUCUGGUAGCCAGCUCUGGAGGGCAAACUGCCGCUGCCAAUGCCACCCACCAACCUCCCAGAAUUUUCAUUUUUGUUACCACUGGGAACAAAAAUCCAUUGUCAAUAUUGACCUUUGCAGUGGAGGACACCAUGCAUGCACAGUGUAACCCAGGGAGUAGAGAACACGGUAAGGUCAGGAGAAGAUGUUAUGGUGGGAUUUCACAGCUUCUGAUUCCUUUCAUGCAUCCAACAUCCUCAGGAGAACGCUGAAGCAGAUGAAAAUCCAAGUGAGCUCUGUGCAAAAGAAACUGUCUACAAAUAAUUGAAAGUGGAUUGUAACACAGUCUUGAAUUCCAAGUCUGUCUCCUUUUUAGAAGAGUCAGGAUUUAAUUAUACUUGUGGCAAAACUUUCCCACCAUUCUUGAGGUUACUGAGCAUGUGUUUAAAGCAGAAAUUCUGUAAACCAUUAAUGUUAAUAUGUCUUUAUACAUCUUGGAAAAAUUGAACUUCUGUUUGAAACUCAUGUGGCAUUUUUAAUCGUGCUAAAUGGAUGGCCAGUAAAUUGUAGGUCAGUCAAUGAUAUGGUGAUUCCCAGUAAAAUAAUGGGAAAUGUUUUUUUUUGUCAGAUUAGUGUGUCAUAGGGAGAUUUCCAUACAGCAUUUAACCUCCUAUUGUGUGACAUUUUGAUUUAACAGGUAAUGCUAUCCAAUCUCAAUACUGCAGGUACUAAGUGGAUUAAAAAGUAACCGAUAUGUUUUAUGGGUUAUUUCUGAAAGAGAAUGCUUAAUGGAAGAAGGUGUUUCUGAAACGUUCUGCAGCGAUGAGUUCCUGGCCCAGUGCUUUUAUUUUUUUUUUCUUUUUAAUAAAAUAGGAACUGGCUAAUAAAGCUUGCCA